GCCUUAUAACUGCUGAUAUUAAUAAGAAUUGCAAAGACAUCGGAAGCAGAAAGUUUUACUUCCUCCUAUCAAACUUGUGUAUGUAACAUGCAUAAGACACACAUUCAACUAAGAAAGGCCUUUCUCUCCUCAAUUGGAGAGGGCUAGAGCUGCACUCCUGUGUACAUGUGGGUAGAGGCUCUGGACAUUUGUCUAUAGGCCUAUUCACAAAGCUGGCAGUGUUAAAACUGAAAGCAGUUCAUGGGAUGAUUAAAAAGUCCAUGGACUACAAGGAGAGACUACUGAUUGGAGAAGCCUCUUCCUUGUCAGGGUAGGUUCUGCGUGCUGCCGAUACAAUAACUAGGGACUUUAAAGGUAGGUAUUGGUUUUCAU
Pelobates cultripes (western spadefoot toad) is the source of this 372-nucleotide non-coding RNA. NCBI's taxonomy places the organism in Eukaryota, Metazoa, Chordata, Amphibia, Anura, Pelobatidae. The record is from the annotation of a GenBank genome assembly.